Molecule: long non-coding RNA, 348 nt
Filed under: Ananas comosus (pineapple)
Lineage: Eukaryota; Viridiplantae; Streptophyta; Magnoliopsida; Poales; Bromeliaceae
Description: long non-coding RNA (ACOM_LNC043980)
Source: RNAcentral
AAGCCGAAGAAGAAAAAAAUAGUGUCUUUUUUACCUAAAUAGUAUAAAUUUCGUUCAAAGAGUGCAACUUUUAUCUAAAAAAGUAUAUUUCUUCUCUCAAAGAGUGUAAAUUUUUUCUAAAACAGUGCAACGCUCCCCUAAAACAAUACAAUAUUCUCCUGAAACAGUGUAACAUUUUUCUGAAACAAUGCAAAUUCAUCAUUUUCACUCUGAUUCUUCAUUUUUCUUAUAGAAAUCACUAUUUUUCUUUAUAUUUUACUGUUUAUUUAUUUAUUUUUUAUUUUCUGCAUAUUUUUUUUGGCUCAGCUCUCACCCACACUCGCUUCAAGUUCUCUUUCUCCGGCACAU